GUUCAAAAAUUCAUUUCUGAAAGAAAAAAGAUUAAUUGCAAAGAUAUGCGUUUGAGCAUAUGUAAAAAUAUGAUUCUACAUUAUUAGAUAUCAAUGGAAGAGUGACCAUUUGAGUGACAUACAGUUACGAAAUUAUGUAUAAAAGAGAGUUGCUUGUUAAUGGAUCGUUAAACUAACAGCACAUUCUUUUUGCGUUGUGCAAAAUCUCGUGUCGAUGACUAACAGUUUUUUUUUCUUUCUUUUUAAGAUCGCGAUGUAUGAGAAUGUCGAACGCCUUCGAGUUAAAAGGACACGUCGUCCUUCGUGCAAUGCAAAAGUGGCGUCGGUGUUUGUACAGAAAGCUCGGAAUUAAAUGUUUUAUGCCGUCAUCGUAUCUUGCACAAUAAGAAUGAAUGGAUGAGACGAAGCCUCUCUGCGACGCGGUGCUCAUCACGUGCAAAUCCUGUCCAUACAUAUGCGUGCACGAUUGUUGCGGCUUUGGCGAGAUACGAAUUUAUCGGAUCAAGACAAAAAAAAGAGCGAAAUAUAAUAUAAUUUAUGAUACAAUUUAAAAGAGUUUUUACACCACACACGUGAAUAAAUUCGAAUGAAUUUUAUCAUGUUUUUAUUAUUAAAAAAAAA
Long non-coding RNA from Formica exsecta, 621 nucleotides. RefSeq lists it as uncharacterized. The record is from RefSeq and is a predicted model, not a curated record. The transcript has 2 exons. NCBI's taxonomy places the organism in Eukaryota, Metazoa, Arthropoda, Insecta, Hymenoptera, Formicidae.